RNAcentral lists this small RNA (79 nucleotides) under Xanthomarina spongicola. RNAcentral describes it as "Formosa spongicola Flavo-1 RNA". It matches the Rfam family "Flavo-1 RNA". Lineage: Bacteria; Pseudomonadati; Bacteroidota; Flavobacteriia; Flavobacteriales; Flavobacteriaceae. The record is from RNAcentral.
GUUUUGCGUUAGGGAUUGAAAUGGAAAUCCUUUUUGUGACAUAAGAGCAAAAAGAUUGUAGUGGAAAGCCCGACCUUUA